AACACAUGCAAGUCGGACGGUAGCACAGAGAGCUUGCUCUCGGGUGACGAGUGGCGGACGGGUGAGUAAUGUCUGGGGAUCUGCCCGAUAGAGGGGGAUAACCACUGGAAACGGUGGCUAAUACCGCAUAACGUCGCAAGACCAAAGAGGGGGACCUUCGGGCCUCUCACUAUCGGAUGAACCCAGAUGGGAUUAGCUAGUAGGCGGGGUAAUGGCCCACCUAGGCGACGAUCCCUAGCUGGUCUGAGAGGAUGACCAGCCACACUGGAACUGAGACACGGUCCAGACUCCUACGGGAGGCAGCAGUGGGGAAUAUUGCACAAUGGGCGCAAGCCUGAUGCAGCCAUGCCGCGUGUAUGAAGAAGGCCUUCGGGUUGUAAAGUACUUUCAGCGGGGAGGAAGGCGAUGGGGUUAAUAACCGCGUCGAUUGACGUUACCCGCAGAAGAAGCACCGGCUAACUCCGUGCCAGCAGCCGCGGUAAUACGGAGGGUGCAAGCGUUAAUCGGAAUUACUGGGCGUAAAGCGCACGCAGGCGGUCUGUUAAGUCAGAUGUGAAAUCCCCGGGCUUAACCUGGGAACUGCAUUUGAAACUGACAGGCUUGAGUCUUGUAGAGGGGGGGUAGAAUUCCAGGUGUAGCGGUGAAAUGCGUAGAGAUCUGGAGGAAUACCGGUGGCGAAGGCGGCCCCCUGGACAAAGACUGACGCUCAGGUGCGAAAGCGUGGGGAGCAAACAGGAUUAGAUACCCUGUAGUCCACGCCGUAACGAUGUCGACUUGGAGGUUGUUCCCUUGAGGAGUGGCUUCCGGAGCUAACGCGUUAAGUCGACCGCCUGGGGAGUACGGCCGCAAGGUUAAAACUCAAAUGAAUUGACGGGGGCCCGCACAAGCGGUGGAGCAUGUGGUUUAAUUCGAUGCAACGCGAAGAACCUUACCUACUCUUGACAUCCACGGAAUUUGGCAGAGAUGCCUUAGUGCCUUCGGGAACCGUGAGACAGGUGCUGCAUGGCUGUCGUCAGCUCGUGUUGUGAAAUGUUGGGUUAAGUCCCGCAACGAGCGCAACCCUUAUCCUUUGUUGCCAGCGAUUCGGUCGGGAACUCAAAGGAGACUGCCGGUGAUAAACCGGAGGAAGGUGGGGAUGACGUCAAGUCAUCAUGGCCCUUACGAGUAGGGCUACACACGUGCUACAAUGGCGCAUACAAAGAGAAGCGACCUCGCGAGAGCAAGCGGACCUCACAAAGUGCGUCGUAGUCCGGAUCGGAGUCUGCAACUCGACUCCGUGAAGUCGGAAUCGCUAGUAAUCGUGGAUCAGAAUGCCACGGUGAAUACGUUCCCGGGCCUUGUACACACCGCCCGUCACACCAUGGGAGUGGGUUGCAAAAGAAGUAGGUAGCUUAACCUUCGGGAGGGCGCUUACCACUUUGUGAUUCAUGACUGGGGUGAAGUCGUAACAAGGU
This 1454-nucleotide ribosomal RNA is filed under the name Pantoea pleuroti. RNAcentral's name for it is "16S ribosomal RNA". It matches the Rfam family "Bacterial small subunit ribosomal RNA". The record is from RNAcentral. Lineage: Bacteria; Pseudomonadati; Pseudomonadota; Gammaproteobacteria; Enterobacterales; Erwiniaceae.